ACGACGUGCGACGUGCUACACUGCAAGUCGAGCGGGGUUUAAGAGGAAGCUUGCGAAUCUUAGACCUAGUGGCGCACGGGUGAGUAACGCGUCGGAUAACCUGCCUGGUAGACCGGGAUAACGGCUGGAAACGGCUGCUAAUACCGGAUACGCUCUGGUGGACGCAUGUUCAGCAGAGGAAAGCUUUACUGCUAUCAUAUGGGUCCGCGUCCCAUUAGCUAGUUGGUGGUGUAAGAGACCACCAAGGCGACGAUGGGUAGCCGGCCUGAGAGGGCGACCGGCCACACUGGGACUGAGACACGGCCCAGACUCCUACGGGAGGCAGCAGUGGGGAAUCUUCCGCAAUGGGCGAAAGCCUGACGGAGGAGCGCCACGAGAGGGAAGAAUGCCUUCGGGUUGUAAACCUCUGUCUUCAAGGAAGAAGUAAUGACGGUACUUGGAGAGGAAGCCCCGGCUAGCUCGGUGCCGCGCUCCGCGGUAGAACGUACGGGGCGAGCGUUGUCCGGAAUUGCUGGGCGUAAAGGGCGCGUAGGUGGUACAUUAAGUCAGAGGUGAAAGAUCGUGGCUCAACCGCGAGAUUGCCUCUGAUACUGGUGGACUUGAGUGCAGGAUAGGGGAGCGGAAUUCCCCGUGUCCGGUGAAGGCCUAGAUCUUGUGAGGAACACCGGUGGCGAUGCUGCUCUCUGGACUGCACUGACACUGAUGCUCGAAAGCGUGGGGAGCAUACAGGAUUAGAUACCUUGGUAGUCCACGCCUUAAACGAUGAGUGCUGGAUGUUGGAGGUAUCGACUCCUGCAGUGUCGUAGUUAACACACUACGCACUCCCACUGGGGAGUACGGUGGCAACACUGAACCUCAGAGGUAUUGACGGGAGCCCGCACAUCGCUGGACUAUGUGGUUUCUUCUACCCACGCGGAGACCUUCCAGGCUUGACUCUCUGAUGGUCUGAGAUAGACUUCACCUUGAGAUACGACAACAGGUGUGAUGCUGCAGCAUU
Molecule: ribosomal RNA, 997 nt
Filed under: uncultured bacterium
Lineage: Bacteria
Description: bacterial SSU rRNA
Rfam family: Bacterial small subunit ribosomal RNA
Source: RNAcentral